Pezoporus flaviventris is the source of this 67-nucleotide small nucleolar RNA. RefSeq annotates it as small nucleolar RNA SNORD42. Lineage: Eukaryota; Metazoa; Chordata; Aves; Psittaciformes; Psittacidae. The record is from RefSeq and is a predicted model, not a curated record. The transcript has a single exon.
GUGCAAGUGAUGUAAACGUUGUUAUUCACUGACUGCAGUGAUGUUUCCAAAGGAACCACUGAUGCAC